CCCCUGGUCAAUGGCUGCCAGCAUGUUCAAAUACGUUCAAUCAGAGAAAUAUAAUACAAGUAUAAUAUGUCUCUGGUUCAACCAAUGAAUAUUUAUUUCAUUUUGUAUGAUCAAUAAAACAAUCAUUCAUAUGUUUGGGAAUAUAUAAGUCCUGAAUUUGAACUAUUAACAUCUGACAUCGAUUUUUUCACUUGUCCCAUCGGACAAGUAGUAUGAUGAAUCUACUUGCCCGACACCUAUUUCCACUUGCCCCGGACAAUCGGACAAACGGUAAUGUCGAG
Molecule: long non-coding RNA, 281 nt
Filed under: Mytilus galloprovincialis (Mediterranean mussel)
Lineage: Eukaryota; Metazoa; Mollusca; Bivalvia; Mytilida; Mytilidae
Source: RNAcentral